This 181-nucleotide microRNA precursor is filed under the name Medicago truncatula (barrel medic). Its description in RNAcentral is "MIR2619 microRNA precursor family". It matches the Rfam family "MIR2619 microRNA precursor family". Lineage: Eukaryota; Viridiplantae; Streptophyta; Magnoliopsida; Fabales; Fabaceae. The record is from Rfam by way of RNAcentral.
AAACUGCCCCCUAAGUUUUGCAAUUGUAGCAGUUUUGGCCCCCAAGGCCAAUUUUUGGUAAAAAAAUAAUAAUAAAUAAAACACGUGGCACCUCACUUAGGGUGCCACGUCAGCAUAGACCGAGUCAAAAUUGGCCUUGGGGGCCAAAACUGCCACAGAUGUAAAACUUAAGGGGCGGUUU